RNAcentral lists this ribosomal RNA (253 nucleotides) under uncultured bacterium. RNAcentral's name for it is "partial 16S ribosomal RNA". It matches the Rfam family "Bacterial small subunit ribosomal RNA", at positions 524 to 776 of the family's 1533-position model. The record is from RNAcentral.
UACGAAGGUGGCAAGCGUUACUCGGAAUUACUAGGCGUAAAGGGCAGGUAGGUGGUUGGGUAAGUCUGUUGUGAAAGCUCCUGGCUUAACUGGGAGAGGUCAACAGAUACUGCUCGACUUGAGUAUGGGAGAGGGUACUGGAAUUCCCGGUGUAGCGGUGAAAUGCGCAGAGAUCGGGAGGAACACCGAUGGCGAAAGCAGGUGCCUGGACCAUUACUGACACUCAGCUGCGAAAGCUAGGGGAGCAAACAGG